Molecule: transfer RNA, 76 nt
Filed under: Candidatus Collierbacteria bacterium RIFOXYA2_FULL_46_20
Lineage: Bacteria; Candidatus Collieribacteriota
Also listed under: 4 other names
Description: tRNA-Thr
Rfam family: tRNA
About the family: Transfer RNA (tRNA) molecules are approximately 80 nucleotides in length. Their secondary structure includes four short double-helical elements and three loops (D, anti-codon, and T loops).
Source: RNAcentral
GCCAAGGUAGCUCAGCAGGUAGAGCGGCGGUAUCGUAAACCGCAGGUAGUGGGUUCGAGUCCCACCCUUGGCUCUA